RNAcentral lists this unclassified non-coding RNA (173 nucleotides) under uncultured Sordariomycetes. RNAcentral describes it as "sequence contains ITS2". Lineage: Eukaryota; Fungi; Ascomycota; Sordariomycetes. The record is from RNAcentral.
CGACCCUCAAGCCCUGGUUGCUUGGUGUUGGGCUGCUCUGCUGGCCGCAAGGCCUGCAGGCCCCGAAAGUUAUCGGCGGGCCCAUCCGUGACCCCGAGCGUAGUAGAACACUUUUCGUCUCGCUUAGGGAGUCCGGUGGGUUCUAGCCGUUAAACCCCCCAAAUUUUUUACAA